CUUUUGCUGUUGCAGCUGUCCACAGGGCUCAGUGGGAGGUCUGCCGGGCUGUGCACCCAGAGUGUACCGGUCUCAUCUUUAAGGUCAUUGGUGUUGGCUGCGGUGGGAUGAAGCCAUGGCCCCGGGGGUAGCGAACCGUGAAGCUGGGACGCCCUUCUCUUCCCAGAGCCAGCAGAGUGUUCUCACUUUGCACUGGAAAUAGCUGGCAGUGAACUCAGACCCA
Molecule: long non-coding RNA, 223 nt
Filed under: Mus pahari (shrew mouse)
Lineage: Eukaryota; Metazoa; Chordata; Mammalia; Rodentia; Muridae
Description: lncRNA (MGP_PahariEiJ_G0003991.1)
Source: RNAcentral